CUUUCCAAAGUAUCUGAGACCAACAUGAAAGGAGGGUCAUUUUCCACCUCACCCUUCCAGCACUCCAGAAGAGAGAAGGCUUCUGAGAGGUACAGGAGUAGAGAGAAGAGGGGACAAAGUGGCUGCUUCUAGCAUGCAGGCAGAGGAGUCCAUGUUGGA
Long non-coding RNA from Oryctolagus cuniculus (rabbit), 159 nucleotides. It matches the Rfam family "Prostate androgen-regulated transcript 1 conserved region 3". NCBI's taxonomy places the organism in Eukaryota, Metazoa, Chordata, Mammalia, Lagomorpha, Leporidae. The record is from Rfam.